RNAcentral lists this ribosomal RNA (253 nucleotides) under uncultured bacterium. RNAcentral describes it as "partial 16S ribosomal RNA". It matches the Rfam family "Bacterial small subunit ribosomal RNA", at positions 524 to 776 of the family's 1533-position model. The record is from RNAcentral.
UACGUAGGGUGCGAGCGUUAAUCGGAAUCACUGGGCGUAAAGCGCACGUAGGCGGAUGUGUCAGUCAGGGGUGAAAUCCCGGGGCUCAACCUCGGAACUGCCUUUGAUACAGCACGUCUCGAGUCCGGAAGAGGUGGGUGGAAUUCCUAGUGUAGAGGUGAAAUUCGUAGAUAUUAGGAAGAACACCGGUGGCGAAGGCGGCCCACUGGUCCGGUACUGACGCUGAGGUGCGAAAGCGUGGGGAGCAAACAGG